Molecule: long non-coding RNA, 255 nt
Organism: Parus major (Great Tit)
Lineage: Eukaryota; Metazoa; Chordata; Aves; Passeriformes; Paridae
Exons: 2
Source: RefSeq, a predicted model, not a curated record
CUCCACUGUAGCAAGUUCAGAUGUGUUAUUGGAAACAUGGUUAUCUUUUUUAAUUUUCUAGAUACUUGAGUGAUUUUGCAAGAUGGGUGAUAAAUAGUAUUGUUUAAAAGUGGAAUCCAUCCCAUUGUUCCUGUUAUCUCUCAGUGAUAGUUUCAUCUUACCAGCAGACCCACAGCUUGUUUGUAAAGACAAACCUGUCAUUCCUCUCAAUCCCUCCUCUUUUAAUUUUUUUAAUAAAUGUCUUUACAAACUUUA